GGGGUUGUGGCUCAGUGGUAGAGCGCUUGCCUAGCAUGCAUGAGGCAUUGAAUUCGGUCCUCAGCACCA
Molecule: transfer RNA, 69 nt
Filed under: Ictidomys tridecemlineatus (thirteen-lined ground squirrel)
Lineage: Eukaryota; Metazoa; Chordata; Mammalia; Rodentia; Sciuridae
Description: Spermophilus tridecemlineatus (thirteen-lined ground squirrel) tRNA
Rfam family: tRNA
About the family: Transfer RNA (tRNA) molecules are approximately 80 nucleotides in length. Their secondary structure includes four short double-helical elements and three loops (D, anti-codon, and T loops).
Source: Rfam by way of RNAcentral